CCUACGGGUGGCAGCAGUAGGGAAUUUUCGGCAAUGGGCGGAACCCUGAUCCAGCAACGCCGCGUGAACGAAGAAGUCCUUCGGUAUGUAAAGCUCUUUUAUCGGAGAAGAAAGGUAAAUUUGACGUUACGCAAUGAAUAAGCUCCGGCUAAAUACGGGCCACCAGCUCCGGUCAUACGUAGGGAGGGAGUGUUAUGCGGAAUUAUUGCGCGGAAAGGGUUUGGUGAUGGUUGAUAUAAUUCUAUGGUAAAAAGACUAGGUUAAACCUAGUAGGGCAAAAGAGACUGAUGAACUAGAGUUCGGCAGAGGGAAGUGGAAAUACAUGUGUAGCAGUAAAAGGCGUAAAUAUAUGUAAGAACACCGGUGGCGAAGGCGG
This 376-nucleotide ribosomal RNA is filed under the name uncultured bacterium. RNAcentral's name for it is "partial 16S ribosomal RNA". It matches the Rfam family "Bacterial small subunit ribosomal RNA", at positions 338 to 724 of the family's 1533-position model. The record is from RNAcentral.